This 23-nucleotide small nuclear RNA is filed under the name Arabidopsis thaliana (thale cress). RNAcentral's name for it is "snRNA_08370". The record is from RNAcentral. Lineage: Eukaryota; Viridiplantae; Streptophyta; Magnoliopsida; Brassicales; Brassicaceae.
AAGGUGGAUAAAGUAGCUUAACC